Molecule: ribosomal RNA, 401 nt
Filed under: Apamea ophiogramma
Lineage: Eukaryota; Metazoa; Arthropoda; Insecta; Lepidoptera; Noctuidae
Description: partial 16S large subunit ribosomal RNA
Source: RNAcentral
AGGUAGCAUAAUCAUUAGUCAUUUAAUUGAUGACUUGUAUGAAAGAUUGGAUGAAAUAUAAACUGUCUCUUAAUUAAAUAUAGAAUUUAAUUUUUUAAUUAAAAAGUUAAAAUAAAUUAAAAAGACGAGAAGACCCUAUAGAGUUUUAUAAUUAGUUUAAUUGAGAUUAUUUAAAUAAAAAAAAAAAUUAAAAUUAAAUUAAUUAUUUUGUUGGGGUGAUAGAAAAAUAUAUUUAACUUUUUUUUAAUUAAAAACAUUUAUAAGUGAUUAAAUGAUCCAAUAUUAUUGAUUAUAAGAAAAAAUUACCUUAGGGAUAACAGCGUAAUUUUUUUUUUUAGUUCAAAUAAUAAAAAGAGUUUGCGACCUCGAUGUUGGAUUAAGAUAAAAUUUAAAUGCAGAAG